GCUUAACCGAAGAAGUGCAUCGGAAACUGGGUGACUUGAGUGCAGAAGAGGACAGUGGAACUCCAUGUGUAGCGGUGGAAUGCGUAGAUAUAUGGAAGAACACCAGUGGCGAAGGCGGCUGUCUGGUCUGCAACUGACGCUGAGGCUCGAAAGCAUGGGUAGCGAACAGGAUUAGAUACCCUGGUAGUCCAUGCCGUAAACGAUGAGUGCUAGGUGUUGGAGGGUUUCCGCCCUUCAGUGCCGGAGCUAACGCAUUAAGCACUCCGCCUGGGGAGUACGACCGCAAGGUUGAAACUCAAAGGAAUUGACGGGGGCCCGCACAAGCGGUGGAGCAUGUGGUUUAAUUCGAAGCUACGCGAAGAACCUUACCAGGUCUUGACAUCUUGCGCCAACCCUAGAGAUAGGGCGUUUCCUUCGGGAACGCAAUGACAGGUGGUGCAUGGUCGUCGUCAGCUCGUGUCGUGAGAUGUUGGGUUAAGUCCCGCAACGAGCGCAACCCUUGUUACUAGUUGCCAGCAUUAAGUUGGGCACUCUAGUGAGACUGCCGGUGACAAACCGGAGGAAGGUGGGGACGACGUCAGAUCAUCAUGCCCCUUAUGACCUGGGCUACACACGUGCUACAAUGGACGGUACAACG
Molecule: ribosomal RNA, 637 nt
Filed under: uncultured bacterium
Lineage: Bacteria
Description: bacterial SSU rRNA
Rfam family: Bacterial small subunit ribosomal RNA
Source: RNAcentral